AAGCUCGGAGGAAAGUGCUCUGAACACUCUGUUGGGUCGGAGAUUUCGCUCGGAGUUUCGUGCGGAAGUACUUCCAAGUUGCAUUCUAUCAUCCUCAUUUCCGGCUUCGGAGCGUUCCUGUUCGUCUUUGUGGCACAACGAGUCGGAGAACAACAUGGACGCCACCAUGGUAGCUGCCUCACUAUGCAGACCAUUUUCAAACAACGUUGCGAGCUUGUUGUUCAUCUCCAGGAUGAGGCGAGAAAGAAAAACCGCAGACCCAAAUGGGUUUUCUGGACAUGGAUACCUACACAUUUUCCCGGCAUUUCCGAAUACCAAGAACCCGGUUUGAGGUCCUUCAAAGGUACCUAGAGGAGUGUGGCCUGGAAAG
Molecule: long non-coding RNA, 370 nt
Organism: Gadus morhua (Atlantic cod)
Lineage: Eukaryota; Metazoa; Chordata; Actinopteri; Gadiformes; Gadidae
Exons: 2
Source: RefSeq, a predicted model, not a curated record